GACCAAUUGCCCACGCAUUAACUAGUACUUGUGAAUUCUUUGGAAUUGUGAAGCCACAUAUUUCUACGUCUGUUUCAGCUUUAUGGGGAACUAGCAGUGGGGCUGGUGGGUGCAACCGAAAGGUUUCUUUAACUAUGGAUUGUAAGUAAGGGAACUUCGAGAUGUCUGAUUCUUGAACUAUCCCUUCAUUCCCAAGGACUCCUCGGAUCUCCUUUUGAGCUUUUGCAAUUUUUUCCGGGUUGCAUAGUAACUCUGCCAUUGCCCACUCUACUGUGCUUGAAGUCGUGUCAGUUCCCGCAACAAAGAGAUCCUGAUCAUACAAAGCAAUGUUAGAAUUAAGGUUUCAUUGAUCAUAAUUUGCAAUUUGCACUUACCAAUGUUUUCUACAUGAAAUCUCAAGAAAAAUGUGUGCAAGAAGAAACUCCAAGGAAGACUGACUUCUAAUUCAUUGCUUACUUAAAUUUUCUAGGUCAAUUCAGUUUAAUAACUAUAACAAAUUUCAUAAAUGCAUCAAAUUGAAUGUGACGUAUGUGCAUAAAGACAAUUAAAUGAUUUCAUUUCCAUAGUCAUCCGAAAACGCCCUUGUAAAAUUUAACAGACAAAAGGAGUACUGAUUACUAAUAGUGAAGAUGUAGUUACCCACCAGAAGCAAAUGUUUUAUAUCACUGCAGCUCCACUCAUUGUCAUUUUCUUUUGUGAGAUUGAGGAGGGCAUCUAGUACAUCCUUGCUUGCUGAUGAAGUUUUUGAUUGCAACCUUUGAUUUAUUAUACCAUCAAAAAUAUGAAAUAAUUUAUUAAAAUAAAUUUUCAUGUUCCACCGUAUACCUUGUGGAUCAAUCAAUCUAAAGGCCGGGAAAUAAUCUACAAAGUUGGGUCUUCCAACUCCUUCCAUCACACCCCGGGCAAUAUUCUUGAACUCUUGUGAAAAAUUAGAACCAUGAUGAGCCAAAUUAAUGGAGAAAAUAGUGUUCGAUAACAAAUUAAGGCUUGCUGUGAAGACUGCUCCAUUAAUAUCGACUGCACAACCCCUACUGCAACAUUCUUCCACAUGAUCCAGCAGUUCCUGUACAAUUUUUCUCCGAAGGCCUUGGCUGGCAUCGAGCUGCUGCACCGAAAAUAUUUCCCUGGUGCAUAUCUUCCUAAUCUUUCGCCAAUGCACUGAUGCUGGAACCCAUACCACUGAAGACUCAUGAUGAUUAUGCGCUCUGACAGCAUCCGGGACUGUUCGGCUGGAGAAAGCUUGAUCAUUUCUGUGUAGGACCUCUUUUGCAGUUUCUGAAGAGGAAAUGACUAUGGUAGCAAUACUCCCAAGCUUGAGAGACAUUACAGGACCAUAAGUUUUGGAGAGAUUUGCAAGUGAUCGAUGGGGUUUGUCCCCAAGUUUGAGGAUGUUGCCGAUGAUUGGCAAAGGCCGGGGGCCUGGAGGGAGGCUGGCUGUACCAGGUUUCCGGCCAAUCGGACUGAGUUUGAGGAGAUGAAUGCAUGUCCACACAAAGGAAAGCAAAAGCAAAAAUGUUAUGUAAUCCAUUGUCUACUUCUUUUCACUCUUUUCCUCUCUUCUCUUGUUUAUGAGACACGGGAUUCUCCCUAUCGUCUCUGGUAUCUGUAUGGAAACAUGUGGACCAUGAAAUACUAAUCAACAAAACAAUGGUCUACUUUUUAAUUUCUUAUUUGGCUUUAGUGUUAUUUUCAUGAAAAAUCAAGGACGGACCACAGCCAACUUAAUAAACCCGUGAGUGAUUCUGCUACGAAACAACACCAACCAUGGAAAACAAAAUAAUGCUGCAAAACUAACAUAUAACACUGUUAAAAAAAAUCACCAUUCACAGACAAAGCCUUUUACCCAUACAAAUAUACACUAAAGGAAAAAUAUUUAUACAAUAAUCAUGUACGCUUGUCUUUAUGGGUCUUUACUAAUCCUCAAAACUUCUCUUUAUAAGUCAUAUAACCUUUUCUUGGCUUAAUGAAGAUGAGUUUUCAUUCUUCACUUUAAUUUUAAAAGUUAAUAAUCAUUUUUAAACAAAUUUUAAAAUAGAAAACUAACACACCUACAAGCUAUCAAUUUCUCAUUCUUGUUUAUCAAACCAACAACAUUUAUGUUUUACAUAGAAAAAUCAUAUAUAUAUAUAUAUAUAUAUAUACCAAUGUCAUUAAAAAUAUUCUUUUUCUUCUUAUUGUUAUAUAUAUAUAUAUAUAUAUAUAUAUAUAUAUAUACCAAACAUAAUUUUGUUUUUAUUUUUAAAAUAAAAAUAGAAUUAGAAUAUACAAAUUUAAUUAAACAAUUUUUAGUUUUCUACUUCUAGAAAUAGUAAAAAGAUCAAGAUCGUACAUUCCAAUAAUUUUUACUUAUUUAUAAUCUUUGGUGAAAAUAAAAAUGAAAUAAAGCCUGAAAGAUUAGGAUGUGAUGUCAAUAUGAUCAAUACUUGAGUUGUAAGUUGGCAUGGGGUUUAAUUAAAUAAAUUAUGGUAUAUAAUUAAUUAAUGGGCUUGGUCUUGUCUUAACGGACGAAACCACUUAGAGGAAGUGUGAAUAGGUAAGAAUAACUUUCUAACAUCGAUCUCCCUCCUCGUUAGGAUCCAAUCAAUGAAGUAGGCUACUGCUAUAUGAACCUGGAUGCGAUGUGAGGCAGUAUAGAAUGUACUACACUCAAAAAUACCAAAUUGUCAAGCUGGUUUGAUCACAUCAAUCAAUGGAAUACAUAUGGGUAAGAGACAAGCCUCCUCAUAAAAAGCAUGAGCAAUAGCCGCACACUCAACUCGUAAGAGGGUCAGGAUAUUAGAAACCAUAGGAGGAUCAAUGCCUUAAUAUAGACACACAUCCCCAAGUCAAUUUUUGACAAAUCUAUCAAGAAGACACAACAAAGUCUAAACCAUUUAUCAAAACACUAAAAUAUACUCUAGGAAUAUACUAAUAAUGGAUGUUAUCAUAGAACAUCCAAGUGCAGUGAUUAGGGUAUAUAGCCAUUUGAAUAGACAUAAUAGCCUUCCACCUCUAGUCAUAGACAAUGUAGGGAAUACGAGUACCCAAACUUAGAAAAAAUCAUAUAGCACACUUUGGCUCAACAUGUCUCUCAAAGAUUAUAUCAUAGAAUGCAAUCCUAUGUUUCAUAAAAUAGAAAUAAUGAAUGGGAAGGUUAUAUUGUAUAGGAUUGAUGAAUAGGUGUCCUAACAUGAGGAGACCUAGAAUGAGAAGCAGCCUACUUCUAGACCCACCUCUACCACAAGUCAUAGGAAAAAUAAGAGAAAAUUUUGGGAAUAGAAAUUAAUCUAGGAAAGUGUGCGAUCAAAAGUGUCCUAAACAUUGAGCUUAGAGGCCCAUUAAAGUCAAAUAUAAAGAGAAAUUGCAAGAAAAUCUUAUGAAGGAAGAGCAACGAAUGUUAGAAGAGAAAGGAGAUAAAAAUGGAGGCAUAUAGUGAAUAUCAAGUGUUGGUGCACUUUUAAAAUUAAGGACAUUCGAAUAUCUCAUAAAGAGUGUGUAGACCCUUAAUUUUAUUCAUAUUUAUAUGAUAUAAGCUUAUUUAGAUGUAGUCUUUUGACUUACCAUUUCUCUUGACUUUAUUUUAUUCCAUUUUAUAAUUAUUUUUAUUUAACUUUUUCACUUUUAUUCUCUAUUCUUUCUCAGUUCUUCCUUACCUUGCUUUUCUUUCUCUCCACACAUCACCAUACGUGCACCAUGAUUACACUUCCAUUAAUUUCUAAAGAAACAAACAAUUUCCUCCAUUUGUUUUUUAGAAAGGAAUGCGGGUAUAUCUAAGCCAAACUAGAAGUGGGACUUGUGUUGUUGAGUGAUCAUUGUACAUUCAAAUCUAACAAUAAGAUACUGGAGUCCUCCGCGUUAAUUAAUUUUCCAGAUGAUAUAUUGUUUGUCAACAUAAUGUUUGGGAAACACCCCAAUUUGCCACUUAGUUGGCCAAUCUCUACCAUCCUACCAAACACAUUUCUUUUUCUUUCCUUCACUCACUGUUUUACAAAUCUACUUGCAGGGUAACUUUCAACAAUGAAGGAUGGACCACAGCCAAAAGAACGGAUUGUACUAUAGCGCAUGGAAAACAAUAAUGCUGGAAACUAUCUUUCCUUUUUCUCACUGUUUUUCAAAUCUACUUGUUGGGUCGCUUUAAAAAAAAUGAAGGAUGGACCAUAGGCGGAGCUAGAAAAUGACCUGAGAGGGGCCAAAAUAUGAGAACAUAUUUCAGAGGGACAUAAAUGAUUGAAUUUACCUAGUGAUGUAGUGGCAAUGAAAGAUAUUUUUAUUCUUUUCCUAGGUGGGACAAGCACCAUGUGGCUCUGCUCCUGGAUGAACCACAACCAAAAGAAAGGACAAACCGACAUUGCUUGUACUGUAACACUUAGCAUGGAAAACAAUAAUGCAUGUUUUAAAAACUGAUCAAUCAAAGCCUGGUCCAGUUCGAUUCACAUGUUGAGCUGAAGCCAAGGAACCUACUGAACAGAGGUUGAGAUGGACCAAAAAUACCACAUACCACAAAUCUAUAGUAUGGGACCAUUGAUCGAAGAUUCAAAGAAAUGACUGUGCAACCACUAGAUCUAGUGCUAGUUUUGUUAUAUAACAGUUGCAUUAUUAGCUAAAUUUAUCCUACUUAUUUAUGUAAUAAUAAAUUUGAAAAAAUAAUAUAAGCAAAAUAACCUACUAUCUUUUAAAACUAUAAAAUAAUCUAAUAUUUAAUAUGUAAAUAAAGUUAAAUAAUAUUAUAUAUAUAUAUAUAAUAUAAAAUAUGAAAAUGUUAGCUGACUUAUUUCAUGAGCAUUUUUGUUUCAGUCAUCUAAAAAAAUUAACUCUGUUAUUGUUAAACUAUGAUUCCCUGCAAUAAAAACACUACAUUAAACCAUGAUUUCGAUUACUCUGAUGAGCAUAUUCCUCCUUAGUUCUUUCAUCUAUAUUGUAGCACAAGACUAUUACAACUUCUAUCCACCCUUUUAGCUGUUUCUCAUGCAAGUGACACAACAGAGAAAAAACAAAGGUCCCACCUAUUGUACCUAAAUCCUUCUUUAUUUAUAUCAUGAUUUUAUAUAUUUAUACUACCGUUUAGUAAUUAUAUUUUAUCAAAUAUUUUGAAAACCUUGGGUGGGUAUUAGGUAAUAAUAGGGUACAUAAACAACAUAGAAGUUGCAUUCAUUAAAACAUAAAAAUACAAUCAAACUUUGAUUGGAAUAGCCCGUAGAGGCUGGACCUUGUGUAAUGUCAACCCCAAUUUCUCAUUCAUGUCCAUAUCUGCUGGUUUCAUACCAUCGUCAAGCUUCCAAGCAUAGGAAUGAAGAAGAGAGGCCAAUAUCAGGUGCACCAUCCUAUGAGCUAAUGGCAGUCCAAGACAUAUUCUUCUUCCCGCACCAAAUGGAAUCAACUCAAAAUCCCGGCCUUUGACAUCAAUAUCACACCCCAAAAACCUCUCAGGUACGAAUGCAUUUGGGUUCGACCAAGUGCUUGGAUCUCGACCGAUAGCCCAUACAUUAACUAGUACUUGGGAAUUCUUUGGAACUGUGAAGCCGCGUAUUUCUACAUCAGAUUCAGCUUUAUGGGGAGCUAGCAGUGGGCCUGGUGGGUGCAACCUAAAGGUCUCUUUGACUAUGGCUUGAAAGUAAGGGAGCUUUGAGAUGUCUGAUUCUUGAACUAUCCCAUCCUUGCCAAGGACUUCUUGGAGCUCCCUUUGAGCUUUUGCCAUUUUUUCCGGGUUGUGUAGUAGCUCUGCCAUUGCCCACUCUAU
Molecule: long non-coding RNA, 5716 nt
Filed under: Vitis vinifera (wine grape)
Lineage: Eukaryota; Viridiplantae; Streptophyta; Magnoliopsida; Vitales; Vitaceae
Description: long non-coding RNA (VVIN_LNC005182)
Source: RNAcentral